This 465-nucleotide ribosomal RNA is filed under the name uncultured bacterium. RNAcentral describes it as "partial 16S ribosomal RNA". It matches the Rfam family "Bacterial small subunit ribosomal RNA", at positions 28 to 507 of the family's 1533-position model. The record is from RNAcentral.
GACGAACGCUGGCGGCGUGCUUAACACAUGCAAGUCGAACGGAAAGGCCCCUUUGGGGGUCCUCGAGUGGCGCACGGGUGAGUAACACGUGCGUAACCUGCCCUUGACUUCGGGAUAACUUCAGGAAACUGGGGCUAAUACCGGAUAGGAAUCCUUGCUGCAUGGUGGGGGUUGGAAAGCUUCGGCGGUUUUGGAUGGACUCGCGGCUUAUCAGCUUGUUGGUGGGGUAGUGGCUUACCAAGGCUUUGACGGGUAGCCGGCCUGAGAGGGCGACCGGCCACAUUGGGACUGAGAGACGGCCCAGACUCCUACGGGAGGCAGCAGUGGGGAAUAUUGCACAAUGGGCGGAAGCCUGAUGCAGCAACGCCGCGUGCGGGAUGACGGCCUUCGGGUUGUAAACCGCUUUCAGCAGGGGCGAAGCUUGUGGUGACGGUACCUUCAGAAGAAGCACCGGCUAACUACGUG